Molecule: long non-coding RNA, 3876 nt
Organism: Balaenoptera ricei (Rice's whale)
Lineage: Eukaryota; Metazoa; Chordata; Mammalia; Artiodactyla; Balaenopteridae
Exons: 5
Source: RefSeq, a predicted model, not a curated record
GCUGCUCGGGCUGCCCGGCCCAGAAUAGCCUCCCUUCCGGGCAGGGCUGCCCCGGCCCGCGGCGCCAGCGCCCGAAAUAGGGCUCGGCCUGGAGGCCCGGGGAAGGCGGGCGGCGGGCGCAAGGGACCGCCGCAGCUCGGGGACGCGCCGGGGAACGGGCACCCGGGUGCGCGGCAGGGAUCGGGGACCGGGAGCCGGGAAGCCGGGCGCUGGGCCAGCCGCGGGGCGGCGGGGCGGGGCGCUGACCUCACAGUCCGCGAGGAAGCCCGUCGUCGGGGGCCGGCCGCGCUGAUGGAAGGGCUGAGGAAUCCGCAGCUGGCGGCGCGAUGGGGCAAGCUCUAGAUGUCAGACGGACCUGGAUGCCCCAGAAAGCCUCUCAGGGCCAGAGAUUUGCCCGGAGUCUCCAGUUGUAGGUGAGGGGCCGAGGGGGCAGAGAGAAGGUGCUGCAGGCCCUGGUUGAGGGGAGGACCUGAGAACUCUCCUUUCAGCUCUAACAGACCACCUGGAGCUUUCUUCAUCACGCUUCCUCUCCGAUGAUGAUAAUGAUGCCGGGAUGAAAGAUGCAGAUGAGAGUCCCUUAACUUCAUAGCCCCAGCUCUCUCUAACCUGGUUGUCUGGAACAUCUGAGGGAUGGAGGCUGCCCCGCUCCUGUGUCCACUUCACCAUCAGAUAACCCAGGGCUUUGCAAAGAGCUGGCUGUUGGGCAUCCCCUGGACUUUUCCCUAGGUGACAUUGCCAAGGAACUGUGGCACUGGCCAGAUUUCCCACGCCCAGCCCCGAGGCGUCACCUUCCCCUGUCUUUUGCACAGGGAAGCUCAAAAUAAGCUUUCUAGAGGAUGUUCUUUCUUGUGUGUAGAGUCAUCUGAGGUUGCUAAUACUGAAGCUCUUCACCAGAGAAACAUAGGAAGCAUCCCUGCAGCUAAAUGAGGCAAUGUCUGUAGAGGACCAGGCCAUGCCAAGCAGGCUACAGACUCACGCUCCCUCCUCCCCAAGAGGCACUGCCCUUGGCUGUGCAGACCGCCUCUCAGCCCUGCCCUUGGCCAGGCCAUCUGCUGGGCCCAUCCCUGGGCACCUUUGAAGCCUAUCCUUUGCUCAAGUUGUCUUGGAUGGAGUAUAAUGGGGCCUUCCUCUUGUUCCUCUGCCCAAGAGCAAAGAAAGACACAUUUGUUAGGCUCUUCCUGGAAAACGCAAGGAAAGAAAAAAAAAUGUUCUUAAUUUUAGAUCCUGCAGGACCAACCAGCAGUAACAGGGUUGAAUAGUAUACCCCAAAUUCAUGUCUAUGUGGAGUCUGUGCUUGUGACCUUAUUUGGAAAUAGGGUCUUUGCAGAUGUAGUUAAAGAUGAAGUCAUACUAGAUAUGUUUGGGUCCUAAUCCAAUGACUGGAUACAAGAAGAGGGAGAUUUAGUCAUAGGAACACGGGGAAGACAGCCAUGUGAAGACAGAGGCAAAAACUGGAGUGAUGCGUCUACAAGCCAAGGAACGCUAAGGAUUGCUGGUGAUCACCAAAUGCUGGGGAGAGGCCGGGAAGGAUUCCCCCCCUAGAGACUUCAGAGGGCACAUGGCCCUGCUGAUAUCUUGAUUUGGGACCUCUGUCCUCCAGGAUGGCCAGGGGGAGACCAAGCCCAACAGCAUUCUCGUGCAGUCCUUGUCUGUUUCCCACUGAACCCUCCAGAGACCAGCAGGGAGGGCCCCUGAGACCAGAGAGCAGAGUCCUGGGCAGGCUGACUCAGUUGCUCGAAUCCCCCCUCCAAGGCCAAGAACACCUGUGAUCCUGGUUCAGGCCAGCUUUCUCCUCCCAGAGGAAAGCUCGGACCCCUGCCAUCACCUCGCCGCCGAAUCCUGGUCAGUCAUCUCCCAGUUAGCUGUGUUGCUCACAGUGGGAAGCUAGACUGGGGUGAUUCACCAUCACGCAUCACCCCAUGGAAAGCUCAUCUACAGCGCACUUCGGAGGGAUGGUACUGGGCGUUGCGUUUACAGACGGAGCUCAAAAUGUGCUGAGCAGCUUGUGCGUGCAGCAACGUGCCCAGCCCGGGCACAUCCAUUGGGGUCAAGCAUUUGGUGGGCUUCCACUGGGCGCCACCGACUGCCGGAUUUUGUGAUGAAUGUAAAAAACUGGAAGAUCCAGUGCCUGGUGCAGAGUAGGCAUUCAAUAAGUUAUCAUCGAAGGAAUGAAUAAGAGAGUUCUUCCUUCAAAGAGUUCAUAUUCCAGUCUGGAGGAAACUGGCAACCACCAAAGAGAGGCAGAAUUGGAAGAGGGAGAAGGGCUGUCUGGGCUGGUGGGAUAACCCCGAUGUGAAACGGGCUCACAGACUGUAAGCCUCUUGAAGUCUGAAUGUUUCCUCGUCGGCAGUGAUCUCUCCAGCAUUGGUCACAGUGCCCAGAACGGGGCUCCCACCUGCACUGAUAUCACCUGGGACACUGGGCAGGUAAGCACCAGGUACUCAUGCACCCUAAAGCUCAGAAACACUGCAGCCCCCAUCACACAACAUCGUGGGACCCCCACCCACAAAGAUCAUACUGUGAAUAGCACCCCCUGUGGUUGUGUACACAUCACACCAGCCUCCUGGAGGACCGGAUCCUCAUGGGUUUUAUGUUUCAUGUCUAUACCUUCAUCAUCCUGAACGUUAUGGAUACCAAAUAGCAUUUUCUGUAUGAAAAGAAGAUUUGAGAUUUGGGGGAGGGGAGGUGAAAGAGAGGAAACAUUUUCUUGUGUAAUGUAGAUAACGAGCUUGCAUUGUUUGCUUCUUCUUUUAAGUCUAGGUUUUCCACCUUUCUCUAAGGCUGGGCCUGAUUAUUACAACGAAUAGCAGCUGUGAUCGUAUUUACGAGGAAAGCGUGCAGUUUUAGUAUUCAGAGCCCUGGCUUCUCUUCAGAUGAGAGCCGGGGGCCUCUGAUUCUCUCUGCAAUGCAGCCUUCCAGGCCACUGCUGUUGCUUAAGGCUGUGCUGCAAUCCGGAGCACUCAGGAGUGGGAAGUCCAGAGUUCUCCCCACUUCUGGGAACAGCCCUCCAUCCCCCUCCCCGCGCCAGCUUCCACAGGCAGUCCUCAUGACAGUGGGUCAGGCUAACCCAGGGUUUCACAAAUGCCUGGCCUGUUCCCAGCACAGCACAGCUGGGAGGGCUCAGCACUGGGGGAAGGAGCACCAUCCCCCUCCCCCUGCCAUCCUCAGCCUGGGGCCCAGGGGCUGGAGCCCAGCAGAGGGAAGGGCUGCACUUGUCUGCACUUGCCCCAGUGUGGGCAGUGAUCCUGGGCCUUCCCUCCCUGCUGAUUUCCCAGCUCUGGCUUAGUCAAGGUUCAAGGAGGAAAUUCCCUGUCCCAGGAAGUGAGGAGGAUCCAGGCUUGUCUUCCCCAAAGGAAGCGAGUGGUCGCAGAGUCACCUGAGGAGGUGUUGAGUAUUGAGAUUCCCCACUCUCCUUGGGGCUUCUGAUUCAGAAAAGCUGGGCUUGGAGUCCGGGAAUCAGCAAUUUCAUCCACUCCCUCGGGGCUAGCCGCAGGUGGUUCUUUGGCUUUCAUGAGCCUUGGGAGGGGGGCAGCUCUGGGAGGUGAGAAGGGUUGAGCCCAAAAAGCCGUGUAUUCUCAGGUAGGACCUCCGGCUCUCUCUAAUGAGCUCCAUGACCCUGGAAUAACUGCCCUUGUAAUCCAAGUCUCACUUUCACUAUCACUGAAAUGGAUGUGUGACCCAAGGGAAGGGUGAUCAAAUGUCCUGGACAUUCAGGGAUACUAACCCAGGACAAGCUGGUCACCAUGCCUGAGGAUGAGACAGGACUGUGGAUGUUCGAGGUACUGGAAAUGUGACUUAAAGAUGAGUCUUUGCGGCACAAAUAGCAGUCUGUUUAUUUUAUUUACAUUUUAACUAGUGUCUGUCACUUCCACUAAA